UGUUGUUCACGUGUGAUUACUUGUCGAGAACGCGUAUACGAGGCGUAAAAAAGUCAAACAUUUCAAACGUCUAUAAUAAUAACAGCUCAAAAGUUGCCGAAACAUUUUUUAACACCGCAACUAUAGAAAAUGCUAAGCGAUGUAGCGAGAUUAGAAUUAAAUGGCGCGUGAUUUCCAUUUGACGUCCUAAGACCAGUGCCCCACGGCGUCUGGGACUCGUUAUUAAAUCCGUGACACAACGGCGAAGACGAGUGACAACUACUGUCGGUUAUAUUAUGCGUACCACAGAGAAGCAGGUGAAUAGCGACGAAGUCUUAUGUUUGAAAUAGCUGUCGCAGAUCUCCACGAUCUGAGCGCUU
Long non-coding RNA from Rhopalosiphum padi (bird cherry-oat aphid), 359 nucleotides. RefSeq lists it as uncharacterized. Lineage: Eukaryota; Metazoa; Arthropoda; Insecta; Hemiptera; Aphididae. The transcript has 3 exons. The record is from RefSeq and is a predicted model, not a curated record.